AUGGACAAGCUGUCGGCGCAGAUGCUGGGGAGCAUCUUCCUCUGCCUCCCCGACCCAGCCGACCUCGGCCACACCUCGGUCGCCUGCAAGUCCUUCUGCGACCUCAUCGCUGACAGCUACUUCCGCCGGCAACACCACAAACGCCACACCUCGCCCCUCCUGGGCUUUGUCGGCAAAUUCGGCGACUUCCACCGCGCCAUCUCGCCGCACCCCUCCGCGCCGGCAGCCAAGGCCGUCGACAACGCCUGCGACUUCUCCUUCUCCUUCCCCCCGAGGACGGAGAGCAUCAUCUAUGGCAUCGUGGACAUCCGCGAGGGUCGCGUCCUCCUCGCCACAGUGAAUGAGGUGUUUGGUGAGGAGUACGUGGUGUGCUACCCCUUGCACCGCACGUAUGUGGUUCUCCCCAAACUCACCGACGCUGUGACAUCCAAAAGAAACAUUUUCUUAGCCCCACCGAUGCCGGAAACUGUUGUUGACAAGGAUGGGUAG
Molecule: ribosomal RNA, 489 nt
Filed under: Triticum aestivum (bread wheat)
Lineage: Eukaryota; Viridiplantae; Streptophyta; Magnoliopsida; Poales; Poaceae
Description: partial small subunit ribosomal RNA
Source: RNAcentral